Molecule: long non-coding RNA, 4923 nt
Organism: Herpailurus yagouaroundi (jaguarundi)
Lineage: Eukaryota; Metazoa; Chordata; Mammalia; Carnivora; Felidae
Exons: 2
Source: RefSeq, a predicted model, not a curated record
CAUGGGGUUCAAAUCCACGAAUGGUGAGAUCAUGACCUGAACUGAAGUCGGAUGCUUAACCGACUGAGACACCCAGAUGCCCCAAGCCUUCACUAUUUUUGACCCUGGACAAGUUUUUUACCCAAGGUUUAGUUUCUUAUCUAGAAAAUGAGGAUAAUACCUACCACAUAAUUCUGUUAUUCGGAUCAAACACAAUAUAUUACAUAAAGAAAUGAUAUAGCACCUGGCACAGGGUAGUUUUUGAGUCAUCAAUGCUUGUCUGUCUUCAUGCUUCGCUACAAAACCUGUCCUGGAUUAUGCUUUUAUUGUUUACACACACCUUCUUACAACAUUCUGCUUUUUUUUUUCUUUUUAAUUUUGCUGGGCCUUCAAACUCACCAGCAAGUAAUUGGCGUCGCCCAUAUGAGCCAACCAAUCAAAAUAUUACUUGAGUUGCAUUUUCCCACCAAAAAAGAUUGACACAUUACCAAUAUUUUUCCUCUUGUUUUCUCGUAGUUCUAAUGUUAAGUGAUGCCUGGAACUCUACUAUAAUACCCAUACUGAAGUAUGUACAGUAAAGAAUUGGGGAUACUUUCUGAAAUUCAUCAGGGUUUAACAAUACCAUUUUAUUUUAAAGACCAGAUUAAAUAUAGAUGCAUUAUUUGACACCCUAUGGAUAAUUAAGCUUAGCUGAUCAGAACUUGGUGCUAAUAUGUCAGGUUAGGGUUUUCAAUCUCCUCCAUACACUAAUUAUAAUCUGAUUGAUUUUUCACUCACUGGGUUUUUGUUUUCUUUUGUUUUGUUCUGGGCUCACUGACUGCAGCUGUAACUUCAACUUGCCAAUAUACACCAUUGCUCACAAGAGGACCAGAUGAGAGAGUGUGAAUGAAUUUAUUGCCAGCCCUUUCCUACUCCAAAAAACAAAACAAUUUUGUAGAUUUGUUGCUGAUGGGUCAUAGCACCAUCUUCAUAUACAAAUAACAGCAUUUCAUAUGGCACUAUUUUCAGUGUAUACAAUAAUAGAGAUCAUGAGGAGACAGUACAAAUUAUCUUGGGCCAUUGUCUUAUUUAUAGAUUAAAGCACAAUUAUGUUUUCCACUGAUUUACAUUCUGACAUCUCAGUUAAUUAUGUUAUUUGCUUCUUCCAUGCUUAUUCUCCCCUUAGAUCUGGUUUGACUAUUCUUUUCUUUAGUAUUCGUUCCCUUGUUAGAUUGUUUAUAUUCUCUGAGUGGCAGGAUACCUUUUUUUAAUUAUUAUUAUGAAAAUGCUAAGUAUUUACCUAAUUACCCUUUAGAGAACAUUGGAAGACAAGGCAUUUGAACAAAUGGAUGAAUACUGAAAGGAGAAUAAUUGAAUUAUUUCUGGAAGUCUCAGUGACUGUUAUUUUUCUUACCUUCAAUAUUUUUCCUCUAGGUUACUAUUUUUUUUCAUGAUAGUUUUCAAGCUUAUAGUUGGUAACUUUUUUCCUGUUUGAAGAAAUAUCUCAGGAACAUGAAAGUGCUCAGAUAAAUAUUAUCUAUUUAAAAAUGCAAUAAUUUGAGGACCUAUAUGUUCAUUUAUUUAGAAUAGAAAAUCAUCUAAUGCAGUAUUUAAUUUUAUAUUAUGGAUUUCAGUUCAUAUAGAAGUUUAAAGAAUUUCAAAUAAAAUCUUACAUCAACCCAAAUGUUGAAUAACUGAUAUAAAAAAGAAAGCAUAGGCCCAACACAAAUAAUCAGAGAAGAAUCUAAUUAAUUCAUUUAGGGAAUCAACUAGCCAUCCAUUAUACAGUUAUUGAGAGCCUAACUGUGCCAGGGAUUUCUGUGGACACAAAGGUGAAAACAUAUAGCAAAUCUCAACCAAACACACACACUUUUUUUUAUCAGUAAGGUAGAUAAUGUGAAUGUGUAUACAAAUUAACAUCAAUAUAAUGUAGUCAGAUCUCACAGAGAUAUAAAAAGUCACUGAGAGACCACCUAGCCCAGUGGAUAAUCCAGUCUGGCAGACAAUGUAUGUUAUUUCUGCUUCAAUUUGGAAUGCAUUCUGAUUGUUGCCAAGGAAUUUUUAAAUUAUUAUUAUUAACUUUUGUAUUGGAUUGGUAAUCUUUAAAUUGGUUUAAUUCCUUAUGUACACACCAUCCAGAAGUAGGAUGAAUAAGAGAAUUUGAUGAAUGAUAAAGGGUCACGUGGGAUUAAACAUUUGUGAAAAAAUAAUUUGAAAUGUGGAAUUCAUUCCUAAAAUGGAGAAGUGACUGCAAAAUUCGGAACAUGUUCGUGGAAACUCAAUAGCACAAGCCCGGCAUUGACAAUCAGAUUCACGGCUCUCUUCCUAUCUAUUCACAUUGUUCCUUUAGGGGAAAUUUGACAAUGAUGUCUCACAAAUGUGUUGCCACUUUUCAAAGCUUCUUGCUAGCAUUUUAGCAAAGUGGAAAGCAGUUCUGGCGUUUCGGAUAAAUGUUCCCCAAAUCUUCCCUGCCAGACAUCUCAUUAAGUAGAAAGUCUCAAUAGAGUAAUAUGUAAAAGCAAUUUUAAAUAGAAGUUUGAUUCACAACAUGGUUAUUUUUGUAAAUAAUAUUCUGGGAAGACUUCUGUGCUUUUUAUGGAUUUAAUUUUACCUUUGGAGGUAUAUGCCUCUUCUUGUCAUUGUGACCAGUAAUAUUACCCAGCCACCUAUCAUUCCUUUUCAAAGAGAAUGGACUGUAAAUAAGUGUUUUAAACUAUUCCAUAAUUGACAAAAGACAAUGCAAGAAAUGACUAUUUCUGAAAGGAGUAUUUACUUAUUAUGUUCUCACAUACAUAUUCACUGAAACAUCAAAUGCACCCCCUGCUCCCUAAUGUGAUGAUGCUUUUUUGUAGUAUCAUUAUAGUCCUUCUUUUAAAUACUAUGUUAUUUGUAACUAAAAUUCUUUAACUAAAAGUUGAUACCGGAGAGCAGGGAUUUUAUUGUAUUCAUUGUAUACACCUUUGUAUCUCCAGCCUGGCCACAAACAUAUAUAAGUACUUAACAUUUUGGAAGGAUGAAUGACAUCAUUUAUCAAUGUUUGAUACUUGCUAAUAUCUACUUAUUUUUUAAAUAAAUAUGGCUUUAAAUGUGAUUGUCUUAGUCUAAUAUUUUUGUUUGCUAAAAUUGGAUGAAACAAUGCUGUGCAAUCAUUCUCUCUUAUCUGGAUUGCCUUUGUCCUAGUGUGUAUUCUCAUCCUCUCUAGAUUGGCUACAGAAAUAGCCUUUCUACUACUUACUUGACCUAAGUCAAAUGUCACCAUGCCUUUCUAUGUCUAACUUCCCUCCCAGAGUGAUAUUUUCAGCACUUAAAUCUGAUUAUGUCACACUCAUGCUUCAGAACCCUUCAGUCCCUGCCCUUCACUCCACACUGACUCUAGAUUCUGAUGUUAUUUUACCUAGACUUAGUUCCAGGGCCAUAGGUAAAGUCCUGCCUUUUCUUUUUUUCUCCCUCAAGUGCCUCACAUAUGACAUUCACUAAAUAUUGUUGAAUAAACACUGCAUGAUUGAAUAAAUGAAGAUGGCUUUUAUAGUCCACUUGUGCUAAAAUUAGGCAGGUGAGUUAGUUCAUACAAGAUCUAACAGAGCUGUCUGAAAAUGGAGAUGGAUGCUUUAAACAAGCAUUUCAUACACUUGCCUAUUCAUAAAAGUUAUCUGAGGUGUGUUUUAAAGAUAAAUAUUUCUGGAGUCUGAAUUUCCAAAGGAAACUUGAGAAUCUUUAUUAUUAUUUUUUUAAGUAACUGCUCUAAAUGAUUCUCAUGUUCAGAUAGGUUUGGGAGAGAUCUCUUAGAGUACCAGUUAAUAGCUGGAGACUCGACGGCUACUCAAUGUGGAAAGCUGGACUAUGUGACCCUAAUUCAUUCACUUCCACAAAGUUUGGGGUACUGUGAUUCUAGUGGAGGUCACAGUUUAUACAUGUGUAGAUGUAGGUGAUUGAUUUGGGAUACCUGAAUGCAGAUAGGAGGCAUUUGGGGACAAAAGACUACGUCCAAGUGUUACCAGAUCUAGAGAGUUUUGACCACUUUUCAAGGACUCCAAGGGAAAUUCUUCCCUAAUCUCCAAGUUUGUUGAUUCAUUUAACAACUAUUAAUUGAAUAGUUACCUACACACCCAAUAUGUAUGAGUUCCAGUUCCAGGUGUUGGCAAUAUAGCAGUAACAACACACACUAUCUCAGUGUUCUUUCAGCUGACAUGUCACAACUCACCAUGCUUGUCUCUAGAACUCUCCAGUCAAGUAUUAGUUUUACAGCCACUUCGUUCUUAGGCAAAUUGAAAAUGAUCAUCCCCAAAGAUCAAUCAUUAUCCUUGUUAAAAAUAAGUGUCCAGGUGUUUUGGUCUGACCGAAAACUCCAAAUGGGUUCCCAUGUCCUCUGAAGGUAUAACAGUUGAGCUGAGAUUAUAGGGCACCACUUCUCCCCUUUUGGGACCCAUUUAUAACCUGUUGAGGAGUUUAUUCUAGGCCUACUUCUGAGUCUAUAGGACAUAGAUAUUUACAUUUUAUAUAUGUUACAGGAAGCACAAAAAAAUUCUUUUAUCUAGGGCUAUCAUAUUUUACUAGAAAAUAGUUGGUAAAGGAUUAAACUAAAUACUCAAUUUUCUACCUCUGGGACUCUUACAGGAUGACAAGAACUAUUGGGAUUGUGUGGGAAAUGAUGAAUCAGCUUACAAUGUAUUCCACAAACACUGAUUAUAGCAGUCAUGUUAGAUCUAUUUUCACAUACUGCAAUCUCCAUGCCAGGUGUAAUGUACAGAAUGUAAAUAGUAUAUGGAAUAAUUAUGAAUAUUUUGCUUAAAACCCAGUACUUUAACCAUGGGUAUUCAUCACUCUGGAUUUUAAAACUUUACAUCUACUAUAAUAAUGUCUAUGGUGAUAGAGUUGGGACCCUUGAGAUCUCAAUAAUUAGGAUUUUCCCUUUCCUCUGAGAGAAAUCUUUUAAGAAAGUUGAAUUUUAUGAACAUUGUCUUGAAA